GUUAGUACUCAAACCUGUGAAGGCAAACAAGAUGCAGGCAUCUUGGCAGGGCCCGUAUAAGGUGUUAGCACAGAUAUGUGAUACUACCUACCUUAUAGCCAGCUGUUCAGAUGAAAGGAUCCAGCGAUCCUUCCAUGUGAACAUAAUAAAGGAGUAUCAGGAGAGACCAGAGAAUGUCGCUGCAGUAUGUGCCCCUGCUGCAGAUGAUACAGAAAGUUUACCCUUACCAGAUUUGUUAGAGAGGGACCCCC
This is a non-coding RNA of Pelobates cultripes (western spadefoot toad), 251 nucleotides long. Lineage: Eukaryota; Metazoa; Chordata; Amphibia; Anura; Pelobatidae. The record is from the annotation of a GenBank genome assembly.